GCCAGACUCCUACGGGAGGCAGCAGUGGGGAAUAUUGCACAAUGGGCGCAAGCCUGAUGCAGCCAUGCCGCGUGUAUGAAGAAGGCCUUCGGGUUGUAAAGUACUUUCAGCGGGGAGGAAGGUGCUGAGGUUAAUAACCUCAGCAAUUGACGUUACCCGCAGAAGAAGCACCGGCUAACUCCGUGCCAGCAGCCGCGGUAAUACGGAGGGUGCAAGCGUUAAUCGGAAUUACUGGGCGUAAAGCGCACGCAGGCGGUCUGUCAAGUCGGAUGUGAAAUCCCCGGGCUCAACCUGGGAACUGCAUUCGAAACUGGCAGGCUGGAGUCUUGUAGAGGGGGGUAGAAUUCCAGGUGUAGCGGUGAAAUGCGUAGAGAUCUGGAGGAAUACCGGUGGCGAAGGCGACUUUCUGGACUGUACCUGACGCUGAGGCGCGAAAGCGUGGGUAGCGAACGGGAUUAGAUACCCUAGUA
This 470-nucleotide ribosomal RNA is filed under the name uncultured bacterium. RNAcentral's name for it is "bacterial SSU rRNA". It matches the Rfam family "Bacterial small subunit ribosomal RNA", at positions 330 to 792 of the family's 1533-position model. The record is from RNAcentral.